RNAcentral lists this ribosomal RNA (527 nucleotides) under Russula sp. YM1878. Its description in RNAcentral is "eukaryotic LSU rRNA". The stretch from base 114 to 267 matches the Rfam family "5.8S ribosomal RNA". The record is from RNAcentral. Lineage: Eukaryota; Fungi; Basidiomycota; Agaricomycetes; Russulales; Russulaceae.
CCCACCGCGUGGGUCCCUCUUUGGCUCGCUCCGAGGGGGGGGCUCGCGUUUUCACACAAACUCGAAGCAGUGUAGAAUGUCUUUUUUAUUUUGCGAUGACACGCAAUCAAUACAACUUUCAACAACGGAUCUCUUGGCUCUCGCAUCGAUGAAGAACGCAGCGAAAUGCGAUACGUAAUGUGAAUUGCAGAAUUCAGUGAAUCAUCGAAUCUUUGAACGCACCUUGCGCCCCUUGGCAUUCCGAGGGGCACACCCGUUUGAGUGUCGUGAAAUUCUCAAAAGCCCUUCCUUUGGUGGAGAGGAUUUUGGACUUGGAGGUCAUUUGCUGGUUUCACCUUGAAGCGAGCUCCUCCCAAAUGGAUUAGUGGGGUCUGCUUUGCCGAUCCUUGACGUGAUAAUAUGUUUCUACGUCUCGGGUUUCUGCACUGUACCUCUGCUUCUAACCGUCUCAUUGACAACGAUGGUGUUCCGGUCACCGCCGAUUCAUCGGUGGGAGGCUCGACCCACAAAAACGACCUGACCUCAAA